This is a non-coding RNA of Vicia faba (fava bean), 246 nucleotides long. NCBI's taxonomy places the organism in Eukaryota, Viridiplantae, Streptophyta, Magnoliopsida, Fabales, Fabaceae. The record is from the annotation of a GenBank genome assembly.
AUGUUGUACUACAUGCCUAUGAAAUUUUGUGAUAACAAAUACAAGUUGUUUUUUAAUCGUUCCACAACUAUCACUGCGGUUGACAUAUCAGAUAUUCCACAACACAACUUCUACUUUAAGUCCUUUACUAAUUUCCAAAACGGAGAUUUCAUUGGUGGCUGCCUUUACGGUGUUGUCCAGCAAGUUGUUAGAACUCAAGUAUUUGGUGCUGGAAAAAAGGCAUGCGUAAACCUCACAUUUAUCUGA